This 28-nucleotide small RNA is filed under the name Bombyx mori (domestic silkworm). RNAcentral describes it as "ovarian small RNA-32563". Lineage: Eukaryota; Metazoa; Arthropoda; Insecta; Lepidoptera; Bombycidae. The record is from RNAcentral.
UGAUAUUCCGGCCUCCACGUCGUGCCAC